Molecule: ribosomal RNA, 473 nt
Filed under: uncultured organism
Description: partial 16S ribosomal RNA
Rfam family: Bacterial small subunit ribosomal RNA
Source: RNAcentral
GUACACUCCUGCGGGAGGCAGCAGUGGGGAAUUUUGGACAAUGGGCGAAAGCCUGAUCCAGCAAUGCCGCGUGAGUGAAGAAGGCCUUCGGGUUGUAAAGCUCUUUUGUCAGGGAAGAAACGGUGAGAGCUAAUAUCUCUUGCUAAUGACGGUACCUGAAGAAUAAGCACCGGCUAACUACGUGCCAGCAGCCGCGGUAAUACGUAGGGUGCAAGCGUUAAUCGGAAUUACUGGGCGUAAAGCGUGCGCAGGCGGUUUUGUAAGUCUGAUGUGAAAUCCCCGGGCUCAACCUGGGAAUUGCAUGGGAGACUGCAAGGAUAGAGUCUGGCAGAGGGGGGUAGAAUUCCACGUGUAGCAGUGAAAUGCGUAGAUAUGUGGAGGAACACCGAUGGCGAAGGCAGCCCCCUGGGUCAAGAUUGACGCUCAUGCACGAAAGCGUGGGGAGCAAACAGGAUUAGAAACCCCUGUAGUCC